Molecule: transfer RNA, 85 nt
Filed under: Felis catus (domestic cat)
Lineage: Eukaryota; Metazoa; Chordata; Mammalia; Carnivora; Felidae
Rfam family: tRNA
About the family: Transfer RNA (tRNA) molecules are approximately 80 nucleotides in length.
Source: Rfam by way of RNAcentral
GCCUGGGUGGCUCAGUCAGUUAAGCGUCCGACUUCGGCUCGGGUCACGAUCUCAUGGUUCGUGGGUUUGAGUCCCAUGUCGGGCU